AAGCAAGAAGAAAAGAUGUUGAAGCUGAAAGCUUCAAUUCAGUCAUUGACUUUAGCAAUGCAAACGCUUGAGGACAGUAUCAUUGCUCGGAUUCUUGACGACCUUAAAUCACAAGCGGUCGUUCAUCUCACAGUGUUGGUCUGGAGCACAAUGAUGCUGAUGAUAUGCAGCAUCAUGAACCUGGUGUUCACAUUCACGAUGACAUUCUUGGUGUUGACGGAGAGCAUGUAACUCAUGUCGAUGAUGUCAUCGAUGAAGCUAUGGUAGGGGAUGUCACCCUUCAAUCAAAUGAUGCUGAAGGAGAGCAUGUUCUUCUACCCGAGUCCAUUAUCGACGCAUCUGUUGGAGGGGAAGAGGACCCUGACUCAGUCGUGGCUGAAAAAGAGCAUCUUCCUCGGGCUGAUGCAUUCGUCGAGGCAGCAGCAAGAGCUAUGGUGCUUUAUCAAAGCACUUUUGAUGCAGUUGAGACACAGUCGUCAUCACCAUAGUCAUCUGCUAUCCAUCAUGGUGCAGCAAAAAUUUUAGACCAAACUAAGCGGGCACGAAUGAAACUGACGAGCAAAUACAUGGCAAACCCGUGCGUUGACCCUUUAGUGAGCCGUCGAGAUGUGAAGGAUACAAUCGUAGAAGCCUACGAAGCUUUCAAGAAAGACGAGUCCGCGAGCGUGAUGUCGGCAUUUUAGGAGAUCAAGGGGCUGACUUUUUCAUAACCUUAGAGGAUCCCAAUGAGGAAAUGACAAGUGAACAUAUCGACACAUACCUCAGCGUACUCUACAAGUGGAUGACGGGGCCGAAGUCGAAGUAGUACACUACCCAUGCAUGCGUGGUUGACACGACAUUCUUCGACACCAUCCGUAUGCUACACAUGGAAUUUCCAACAGAAAAUGCCCGGGCCACAAUGUAAAUUCCAAAUGAGUUGCGGGGGUAUGUGGAGGGUGAAAGGCCGAUAUACGAUAAAAAAUGGGAAGAUGUGGAUUUCAUCCUUGCGCCUUGCAACGUUGGUGGGCAUUGGGUGGUUGUGAAGAUCGACUUAGUGAGGUGGACGAUCAAGGUGAUGGACUCCGUAAGAACUUCGGAUGCUAAGGAUAACGGAGUUCGUGCGGCUCAGAUGACACCCUUGACAACAAUGAUGCCAAUCAUCUGCCACCAAGCCGGUUAUUUCAACAGAGUAAGUCGAAAGAGACGGGAUUUGACGUCGAUGCCAUUGGAUAUUCAUUUGCCAAAAGCUAAAGUGUAUCGACAGAAUGAUAGUGUCAGCUGCGGUAUGUUCAUGAUAGGGUACAUGGACAAUAUUUUGCAAUUGGACUAGAUCAAAGUUAAGCAGAAUAUGAUUACAAAAAUGCGUCGGCAAUACGCUCUAGAAUUUUUUUCCAACAAUUGUGAGAGCAAACCCUGAACAUAUCGACCCUUGUCUGUACAUAUUUUUUGUAUACAGAAUUAUUUUUA
Non-coding RNA from Theobroma cacao (cacao), 1446 nucleotides. The record is from RefSeq and is a predicted model, not a curated record. Lineage: Eukaryota; Viridiplantae; Streptophyta; Magnoliopsida; Malvales; Malvaceae.